RNAcentral lists this ribosomal RNA (484 nucleotides) under uncultured bacterium. RNAcentral describes it as "partial 16S ribosomal RNA". It matches the Rfam family "Bacterial small subunit ribosomal RNA", at positions 30 to 507 of the family's 1533-position model. The record is from RNAcentral.
AUUGAACGCUGGCGGAAUGCUUUACACAUGCAAGUCGAACGGCAGCACGGGGGCAGCCCUGGUGGCGAGUGGCGAACGGGUGAGUAAUACAUCGGAACGUGCCCGGACGUGGGGGAUAACGUAGCGAAAGUUACGCUAAUACUGCAUACGAUCUGAGGAUGAAAGCGGGGGACCUUUGGGCCUCGCGCGAUCGGAGCGGCCGAUGUCAGAUUAGGUAGUUGGUGGGGUAAAGGCCUACCAAGCCGACGAUCUGUAGCUGGUCUGAGAGGACGACCAGCCACACUGGGACUGAGACACGGCCCAGACUCCUGCGGGAGGCAGCAGUGGGGAAUUUUGGACAAUGGGCGCAAGCCUGAUCCAGCCAUUCCGCGUGCAGGACGAAGGCCUUCGGGUUGUAAACUGCUUUUGUACGGAACGAAAAGGCUCUGGCUAAUACCUGGGGCUCAUGACGGUACCGUAAGAAUAAGCACCGGCUAACUACGUG